This 393-nucleotide ribosomal RNA is filed under the name uncultured bacterium. Its description in RNAcentral is "partial 16S ribosomal RNA". It matches the Rfam family "Bacterial small subunit ribosomal RNA", at positions 523 to 918 of the family's 1533-position model. The record is from RNAcentral.
AUACGGAGGAUGCGAGCGUUAUCCGGAUUUAUUGGGUUUAAAGGGUGCGUAGGCGGCCUUGUAAGUCAGCGGUGAAAUUUUGCAGCUUAACUGUAAAAGUGCCGUUGAUACUGUGAGGCUAGGAUUUGGUUGCUGUGGGUGGAAUGUGUGGUGUAGCGGUGAAAUGCUUAGAGAUCACACAGAAUAUCGAUUGCGAAGGCAGCUCACAAAGCCAAGAUUGACGCUGAGGCACGAAAGUGUGGGGAUCAAACAGGAUUAGAUACCCUGGUAGUCCACACUGUAAACGAUGAUAACUCGCUGUCGGCGAUAUACAGUCGGUGGCCAAGCGAAAGCGAUAAGUUAUCCACCUGGGGAGUACGGCCGCAAGGUUGAAACUUAAAUGAAUUGACGGGG